UACAGAGGUGGCAAGCGUUGUUCGGAAUUACUGGGCGUAAAGGGCGCGUAGGCGGUUCGAUAAGUCCCGUGUGAAAUCCCUCGGCUCAACUGAGGAAUGGCACGGGAAACUGACGGGCUUGAGUUCGGGAGAGGGAAGCGGAAUUCCGGGUGUAGCGGUGGAAUGCGUAGAGAUCCGGAGGAAGACCGGUGGCGAAGGCGGCCUGCUGGGCAGUUACUGACACUGAGGCGCGACAGCGUGGGGAGCAAACAGG
Molecule: ribosomal RNA, 253 nt
Filed under: uncultured bacterium
Lineage: Bacteria
Description: partial 16S ribosomal RNA
Rfam family: Bacterial small subunit ribosomal RNA
Source: RNAcentral